Molecule: non-coding RNA, 30 nt
Filed under: Mus musculus (house mouse)
Lineage: Eukaryota; Metazoa; Chordata; Mammalia; Rodentia; Muridae
Source: RNAcentral
UCCCAGUACAGAACUUGCCUGACCCUAGUG